RNAcentral lists this transfer RNA (77 nucleotides) under Acinetobacter baumannii. RNAcentral describes it as "tRNA-Gln". It matches the Rfam family "tRNA". From Rfam's summary of the family: Transfer RNA (tRNA) molecules are approximately 80 nucleotides in length. Their secondary structure includes four short double-helical elements and three loops (D, anti-codon, and T loops). Further hydrogen bonds mediate the characteristic L-shaped molecular structure. tRNAs have two regions of fundamental functional importance: the anti-codon, which is responsible for specific mRNA codon recognition, and the 3' end, to which the tRNAs corresponding amino acid is attached (by aminoacyl-tRNA synthetases). tRNAs cope with the degeneracy of the genetic code in two manners: having more than one tRNA (with a specific anti-codon) for a particular amino acid; and 'wobble' base-pairing, i.e. permitting non-standard base-pairing at the 3rd anti-codon position. Lineage: Bacteria; Pseudomonadati; Pseudomonadota; Gammaproteobacteria; Moraxellales; Moraxellaceae. The record is from RNAcentral.
UGACCGUUAGCCAAGUUGGUAAAGGCACAGGACUUUGACUCCUGCAUCCGGUGGUUCAAAUCCACCACGGUCAGCCA